UACGUAGGGGGCAAGCGUUAUCCGGAAUUAUUGGGCGUAAAGCGCACGCAGGCGGUUUGCCAAGUUUGGAGUGACAGUUGUUGGCUCAACCGAUAAAGGACUUCAAAAACUGGCAGACUUGAGAACGAGAGAGGAACAUGGAACUCCAGGUGUAGUAGUGAAAUGCGUAGAUAUCUGGAAGAACACCAAAGGCGAAGGCAAUGUUCUGGCUCGUUUCUGACGCUCAGGUGCGAAAGCCAGGGGAGCGAACGGG
RNAcentral lists this ribosomal RNA (253 nucleotides) under uncultured prokaryote. RNAcentral describes it as "partial 16S ribosomal RNA". It matches the Rfam family "Bacterial small subunit ribosomal RNA", at positions 524 to 776 of the family's 1533-position model. The record is from RNAcentral.